Molecule: ribosomal RNA, 606 nt
Filed under: Falklandiellus suffodens
Lineage: Eukaryota; Metazoa; Arthropoda; Insecta; Coleoptera; Curculionidae
Description: partial 16S ribosomal RNA
Rfam family: Bacterial large subunit ribosomal RNA
Source: RNAcentral
AGUCUGGCCUGCCCAAUGAGUAUUUCAAUGGCCGCGGUAUUUUGACCGUGCAAAGGUAGCAUAAUCAUUAGUUUUUUAAUUGAAAGCUGGAAUGAAAGGUUAGAUGAAAAAAUAGCUGUCUCUAUUUAAAUUUUUUAGAAAUUUAUUUUUAAGUUAAAAAGCUUAAAUUUAAUUAGAAGACGAGAAGACCCUAUAGAGUUUUAUUAAUUUUUGUAAUAAUAUUUUUAGUAUUUAAUAUUUUUUUUAUAAAAAUUAAUUUAAUUGGGGUGAUUAAAAAAUUUAUUAAACUUUUUUUAUAUAAAUACAUUUAUUUAUGGAUAAAUGAUCCUUUAAUUAAGAUUAAAAGAUAAAAUUACCUUAGGGAUAACAGCGUAAUUUUUUUAGAGAGUUCAAAUCGAAAAAAAAGAUUGCGACCUCGAUGUUGGAUUAAAAUAAAAUCCUGGUGUAGAAGCUAGGACAUUUAGGUCUGUUCGACCUUUAAAAUUUUACAUGAUCUGAGUUUAAACCGGUGUGAGCCAGGUUGGUUUCUAUCUCUAUUUAUCUUAGAAUAUUUUAGUACGAAAGGACCAAAUAUUUGAUUUAGAAUUUAUAUUUAAGAAUAAAAUU